This 662-nucleotide small RNA is filed under the name Pongo abelii (Sumatran orangutan). RNAcentral's name for it is "processed transcript". The record is from RNAcentral. Lineage: Eukaryota; Metazoa; Chordata; Mammalia; Primates; Hominidae.
GCACUUCUCUCAGGUCAGCUAGCAAAUAAAUGGUGACAUAAGAAUAAAUGUGAAGUUGGGACAGAAUUAUUAACUCUUAAAUGCAGGAUGAAGGGAAGAUGAAGACUUAAUAGCAGCACAGCAAAAAUUAGGAGUUUUAGUUAGUGAUAUAUUUAAGGACAUCAACAAUAUAAUGUAGUUAUAAAAGCUAUUGUAAUCUUGAACUUAAUAGAAGUACAGUAUCUAGAAUAAACAAGAGCUACAUUUUUUUCUUUGCUCACCAGGCUGUCACUGAAAUUUCAUGCUCCAUUCUGAGCACUAUGCUUCAAGAGGCAGUGAGGCAAACUGGAACAUAUUUAGGAGGGAGCGUCCUUGUUGCAUGAAAAGUGAUUGUAGGAUAGUGACCUGGUGAAGAAUGCUUUGUGUGGAAAGCUUCAGUGUGAGAAUGUACAAGAGAUACCUGUAUUUGGAAUUGUGCCUGCUAUUAUUCAAACGCCUAGUCGAGGCACCAAAUGUUGGGGUGUGGAUUUCCAGUUAGGAUCAGAUGUUCCAGAUCCUGGGAUGGUUAACGAAGGCACAAAAUGUGGUGCUGGAAAGAUCUGUAGAAACUUCCAGUGUGUAGAUGCUUCUGUUCUGAAUUAUGACUGUGAUGUUCAGAAAAAGUGUCAUGGACAUGGGGUAGG